UACGUAGGGUGCAAGCGUUGUCCGGAAUUAUUGGGCGUAAAGAGCUCGUAGGCGGUCUGUCGCGUCUGCUGUGAAAACUCAGGGCUUAACCCUGAGCUUGCAGUGGGUACGGGCAGACUAGAGUGCGGUAGGGGAGACUGGAAUUCCUGGUGUAGCGGUGAAAUGCGCAGAUAUCAGGAGGAACACCGGUGGCGAAGGCGGGUCUCUGGGACGUAACUGACGCUGAGGAGCGAAAGCAUGGGGAGCGAACAGG
This 253-nucleotide ribosomal RNA is filed under the name uncultured bacterium. Its description in RNAcentral is "partial 16S ribosomal RNA". It matches the Rfam family "Bacterial small subunit ribosomal RNA", at positions 524 to 776 of the family's 1533-position model. The record is from RNAcentral.